Cynocephalus volans (Philippine flying lemur) is the source of this 137-nucleotide small nucleolar RNA. RefSeq annotates it as small nucleolar RNA SNORA5. The transcript has a single exon. The record is from RefSeq and is a predicted model, not a curated record. NCBI's taxonomy places the organism in Eukaryota, Metazoa, Chordata, Mammalia, Dermoptera, Cynocephalidae.
UGCAGUCAAGUCAAAUUCAGCCCUCAUUUCUGUCAUAACGGGGACUGACCCAGAUGGCUGCCACAGCAAGCCCAGCAGGUCAUGGGCCCUGGAUCCCCUGCCCUGGGACCUGGGGAUAAGUUUGGCAGUGGACAUUG